UUUCAUUUCACAUUUUCAUUUUCACCAAACAACAUAGACCAAAUAAAAAAUUAAUUCUAUUAUGUAAGAAAUGUAAAAUACCAAGAUUUUAUCAUUCUAUAAAAGUUCAAGUAGCACAUAAAUACAUUUUUGAAAUAAAAAGCAAAGAAGAAACUUAACAAGAGAACAAAUAUGUCAUUUUAUAAAAGUUUCCAUUGAGUUUCUAUUAGUAUUGGUCUAGGUGACAUAGAUUUUAAUUAGUGUUUUUAUUAUGUUGCGGUUUGGUUUGGUAUGGUUCGGUUGGUAAAAUGAAAGCCGCAAACCAAACCAAACCAUGCGGUUGAGUAAAAAUGUGAACCGAAUA
Molecule: microRNA precursor, 343 nt
Filed under: Medicago truncatula (barrel medic)
Lineage: Eukaryota; Viridiplantae; Streptophyta; Magnoliopsida; Fabales; Fabaceae
Description: miR2662 stem-loop (mtr-MIR2662)
Source: miRBase by way of RNAcentral